This 449-nucleotide ribosomal RNA is filed under the name uncultured bacterium. RNAcentral's name for it is "partial 16S ribosomal RNA". It matches the Rfam family "Bacterial small subunit ribosomal RNA", at positions 29 to 523 of the family's 1533-position model. The record is from RNAcentral.
AACGAACGCUGGCGGCAGGCCUAAAACAUGCAAGUCGAACGAUCUAGCAAUAGAUAGUGGCGCACGGGUGAGUAACACGUGGGAAUAUCCCUUUCACUACGGAACAACGUCGGGAAACUGACGCUAAUACCGUAUAAUGUCUCCGGACCAAAGAUUUAUCGGUGAAAGAUUAGGCCGCGUCUGAUUAGCUAGUUGGUGAGGUAACGGCGCACCAAGGCAACGAUCAGUAGCUGGUCUGAGAGGAUGAUCAGCCACACUGGAACUGAGACACGGUCGGGAGGCGUAGGGGGGGCAGUAGUUAGGAAUAUUGAACAAUGGGGGCAAACCUGAUCCCGCCAUGCCGCGUGUGUGACGAAGGCCUUAGGGUUGUAAAGCACUUUCGUCUACGAAGAUAAUGACAGUAGUAGAAGAAGAAGCUCCGGCUAAAUUCGUGCCAGCCGCCGCCGUAA